Molecule: ribosomal RNA, 253 nt
Filed under: uncultured bacterium
Lineage: Bacteria
Description: partial 16S ribosomal RNA
Rfam family: Bacterial small subunit ribosomal RNA
Source: RNAcentral
UACGUAGGGUGCAAGCGUUGUCCGGAAUUAUUGGGCGUAAAGAGCUCGUAGGCGGUUUGUUGCGUCGGCUGUGAAAUCCCGAGGCUCAACCUCGGGUCUGCAGUCGAUACGAGCAAACUAGAGUGUUGCAGGGGAGACUGGAAUUCCUGGUGUAGCGGUGAAAUGCGCAGAUAUCAGGAGGAACACCAGUGGCGAAGGCGACCACCUGGACGACUACUGACGCUGAGGCGCGAGAGCGUGGGGAGCAAACAGG